CUUCACCGACCCCAACAACAACGGACGCUCGGCAUCACGCUCUUGCCCAUACGUCGCCAACAGGGCCUGCGCCUC
Non-coding RNA from Streptomyces nanshensis, 75 nucleotides. The record is from Rfam. NCBI's taxonomy places the organism in Bacteria, Bacillati, Actinomycetota, Actinomycetes, Kitasatosporales, Streptomycetaceae.